GCUGAUGACAAGACCCUUAUUAAGGAUUACAAGCUCCUCAAGAAAAUCAGCCAAGGAAGCUUCACCAGGGUAAAGUUGGGCCGGAACAUUCUCACAGGGACCCAGGUGGCUGUGAAUGUCAUCUUGAAAGGUCAGCAGAGAUCCUCCAGCCUCCAGAGUGUACAGUGAGAGAUCAGCAUUAUGAAGGCUCUAAAUCAUCCCAAUGUCAUCAAGCUCUUUCAAGUGAUCAACACCAUGGACACCUUGUAUUUAGUCCUGGAGUCCAAUGGCAGUGGAGAGCCCUUUGACUAUAUCCUAGAACAUGGCCCAUGAAGGAGAAGAGGCCCAAAGCAAGUUCAGGCAAAUUAUAUCUGCUGUACAAUACUGCCACCAAAAGAAAAUCAUCCACAGGGACCCGAAGCCCUAGAACUUCCUUCUACAUGCCAACUACAACAUAAAAAUAGUUGACUUUGGCUUAGGCACAACAUUCAGUGAUGACCAGAAGCUGGGCACCUUUUUGGAGACUCCAUCUUGAGCUGUUCCAGAACUCUACCCCAGUCAAAAAUAUGAUGGCCUCAUGGUGGACAUGUGAAGCUUGGACAUAAUUCUAUGCACCAUGGUCGCCAGGGUUCUGACAUUUGUCAAACAGACCCUUGAGCUAAAU
Molecule: long non-coding RNA, 643 nt
Filed under: Homo sapiens (human)
Lineage: Eukaryota; Metazoa; Chordata; Mammalia; Primates; Hominidae
Description: non-protein coding lnc-SLC38A4-2:1
Source: RNAcentral